RNAcentral lists this long non-coding RNA (4038 nucleotides) under Marmota monax (woodchuck). Lineage: Eukaryota; Metazoa; Chordata; Mammalia; Rodentia; Sciuridae. The record is from RNAcentral.
GUAAAGCAACGCAUCACAUAUGUGUCUCUCUUGAGCGGCGUAUGGAUGUCAGCUGCUCCAGGUGGUUCCUAGCAUCUCCCAAGGCCCUGCUCUUUCCCUGGAGAGGACCCAGCAGGGACAAAGACAUGGGAAAGGAGCUGUGGCCAUGACCCAUCUGUCUCAGUCAAAUGCAGACCUGGGAGCAGGGCGGCCAAACUAGCGCGCUUCUGACAUGCCCGGCUGAGUUCCAAGGCAAGAGAGCAAAGAUGUCCUGACUUGGGGCUUGUUACGCGUCCACAGUUGGCAUGCUUUGGUCUGACCGUGGCCUUCGGUCAGAGCAGCUGCCUGAGGCCCAUCUCUGCAGGCCCCAGGCCUUCCCUCCCUCCUCUUGGACCAGGGAUUCACGUUCUGGAGGGCUUGGGAACGUGACUGGCAUGAACCCUCUGCAGGGCUCGAGUGGAUGGGCACUGGGUCAGUAGCGAGUGUGGCCCUUGGAUAGUUGAGGUGUUCGGGAUGACAUUUGGGUCUGUGGUGCAUAUGCAUGGUGGCCUAGCAGGCUGUCCUGUGGGGAGGGAGCGUCCUCACAGAUCCUCAGAGCUUGUGAACAUGGGUGUGCUCUUUCUCUCAUGGGACAGUGGGCAGGCCACUUAAAGUGGACAGUUGUGGCACUUACCACUUAGCACCCCCGUGAGGAUGAAACGCAGUAGCACACCCUUUUGCAGGUGGAGGAAAAGGUAAGCAAAUACGAAUAAAGAUUUUUAUUUAAGGAUCGAUGCCCCCAGUAUCCAGGUCCUAAGCCCUGCCUUGAAGGGCCAGGCGGAGACGGCUGGGAGGGCUCCUUGGAUUUGCGCCUGUCUGGCUACCUGGGGCCCUUGCCAUGCAGAUCCACCUGGAGGUCACAGGGGGGUAUUGACCUGCAGUGUGAGGGCCCAUGAUGGCCCUAGUCUACGUCCAUGGUGACUCUAUAGCAGGUUCUGCCCAGACCCAACCUGUAUCCUCUCAACCUUUCACCUGCAGUUGCUGAGGGUUCCUUCCAGGCGGGUGGAACAUGCACCUCCUUCUCUUUCCCUCGGACAUCAAAGGAGCACGCUGGAGGAAAUGACAGCAUCUAACCAGGUAGCAUGUGUGUUUGUGUGUGCAUGUGUGUGCACACGCAUGUGCAUGUGUGUGGGUGUGUGCACGUGUGUGGGUGGUGAGCAGGACACAGGGGCCAACCUCCGUCCCUGGGGAUGGCAGCUGGUGGGGAAGUGGCCCCACCUCUUGGUCCUCCUGGGAGUUGAACCCAGGUGUCUUCUGCACGUCUCCUCAGGGGGCCCCGGUGGGACUGGGCCCAGUCACUCGGGGCCUCACCAGCACCCUGACACACUCCAUACUGUCCCCCCUCCCUACCUGACUUGGUUUCUCUCUGCCUCGCUCCUGGGAUCACUGUCUGUCUCCAACUAGGGUCCCCUUUUGCAGAUUGACCCCAAACGCCUGCCGGAGUUUCUGGGACCCAGGGCCCCUCAGCUGAAGCCCCUGCACUGACCCUCCUGUGAGCCGUGUGCUGUCAGAGCCUCACAUCCUGUCAGCUGCCCUCUGAGGAGACCUUGGGGCCUCCCCCCACACCAGCAUGUCAUGAGUGGGCCCCUCGCCCAGCCCAGGCGCUGUCCCCAUGGAGCGAGGCCAAGGUGUGGCUGGCUGAGUUCUCCAGGGUUGGCACCAGCUCCACACAGAUGGGCGGAGGCCAUGUCCUCUGUGCCCUCAGCGGGCAGCAGGGCAAGCACUGAAGAAGCCAGCCUUGUCCCGUCUUCAUGGAGGAGAUGAACAGGGAGCCGAGGUGCAGGCCACUGUGGGGACCCAGGCGGGGAGGAGGGUAGGCGCAGGCCAAGGAGGGAAAGGGUUGACUUGAGAGGCUUUUUGUUGGUAGAGGCAGCAGGAGUUCCCGAGGGCUGGGCUGGGCUGGGUGAAAGCAAGAGAAUAGAAGACACGGAUAUUAGGUUUGGGCUUCCGAUGUGGGCUGGGCCUGCGUUCGGUUGGUGGGAAUGUAAAUUAGAAUAGCCACUGUGGAAAACAGUGUGGAGGCUCCCCAAAACAAGUGAAAACAGAGCUACCAUGCGAUCUGUCAAUACCAUUCCUGGGUGUGUGUCCAAAGGAAAAGAAAUCAGCGUGCAAAGAGGUAUCUGCUCUCCCAGUCUUAUUGCUCACAAUCGCCAAGACAUGGAAUCAAUCUAAGUGUCCACCAGGGGAUGAACGGAUAAAGUGUGGUACAUACACACAGUGGAAUAGUACUCAGCAUUAAAAAGGAAAAACGGAGCCGGGCAUGGUGGCACAUGCCUGUAGUCCCAGAAACUUGAGAGGCUAAGGCAGGAGGAUCCCAAGUUAGAGACCAGCCUCAGCAACUUAGCAAGGCCCUAAGCAACUUAGUGAGACCCUGUGUCAAAAUAAAAAAUUAAAAAAGGGCUGGAAUAUGGCUCAGUGGUAAAGCCCCUGGGUUCAAUCCCCAGUACCCAAUCAAUCAAUGGAUCAAUGGAGAAAAGAAAUACUAUACAGCAAGAUGGAUGAGCCUGGAGGUUAUCACAUUAAGUAAAAUAAUUUAGGUUAUGGAAAGACAGACAUUACAAGAUCUCACUUAGGUGUGGAAUCCAAAUUUGUCAAACUCAGAAACAGAGCAGAGGGAUAUUUUCCAGAGGCUGGGUGGAGGGGCACUGGGGAAAUGUUGGUCAAAGGAUACACAAUUUUAGUUAGGCAAGAGGAAUAAGUUUAGGAGAUCCAUGUAGGACGCGCUAACCACCGUUAAUAACAAGGUGCCAUGUAUUUUAAAAUUGCUGAGAGGAGGUUUUCGGUGUUCUCACCAGGCACACACAAACAGGCACCAGUUAUGUGAAGUAAUUCAUGCUAAAUAGCUUGAGUUAGCCCUCCGCCUGCUGUAUGCCAUCAAUAGGUACAAGUUGUCCUUGUCAAUGAAAAACGAAUGAUAAGCCAGGCACGGUGGCACACGCCUAUAAUCCUAGUGUCUCAGGUGACUGAGGCAGGAGGAUCCAGAGUACAAAGCCAGCCUCAGCAACAGUGAGGUGCUAAGCAACUCAGUGAGAGCCUGUCUCUAAAUAAAAUACAAAAUAGGGCUGGGGGUGGGGCUCAGUGUUCGAGUGCCCCAAGUUCAAUCCCUAGGUAUCCCCCCCCCAAAAAAAAAGGUGCAGUAAACUAUGGAAAAUAGUUGGGUGGUUCCUGCAAAACAAGACUGAGGUGGAUUGUGGGGCAAAGGCAGAUGGGGCUAGGCACGUGUCAGAGGCGGAGUGGCAGAGCAGGUGGUUGACUCAGGGAGCCACAUGACACCCUGGGCCUCCCCGGCUCCAGAGAGCAGCCCCCCGGAGAUGAGCAGAAGGAUGGGGAUCUCUGACAGCCCAUGUCCCUGACAGGCUUAAGGACAAAAGAACACAGCCCCUGACUUUGGGUGGAUGCAGCCUCCCUGUUGGCUGUGUCCCUUGGAAACCUGGGUCACUGGAAGGAGAGGUGACGAGUGGGAGGUGACAUUACUGCUCACCCAGGAGCCAUCUGCUCACUAAUGCAAACAGCCUCGUCUGUCAGGACGGGCGAGAAAAAAUGACCGGGCCACCCUGCGGCGUAGCCCAGGGAGAGGGGUCCCUGGCCCCGUGAGGUAAUCCCUCUGAUGAUGUAUGGCCCGGAGGAGGGUGGGGUUAAUGAUCUUCAGCGGGACCCGGGAGUAAAACCCAGUAAUUUCAUAAUACAGGGUGUGAUGGAUUAAGGCGUGUUAAUAUCAGGAGUAUACAUUAAGGGAAAUGAUCUCGCUGGCAUACUAAAUGGCAAAAUAAAAGCACUUUUAGAAACUUCCAUGAUUAAUUGGUCUGCCCUUUUAGUUCUGUACCAUGAUAAAGUAAAGCUCACUUCUCCUCGUCACCUCCCAGGCAAUCCCUCUACGGCUCCCCGGCCCUCUGAGGACCCCCGGGAGGCCGGCCAGGGGCCAGAGCCCAGACCUGCAGCCUGGGAUAGGCUUGUGCAUCAUUUUCCAGGGGUUCAGAAACCACCAUUUCACGAAGUUCAGAAAUACCACGGGCAAAGCCC